This 439-nucleotide ribosomal RNA is filed under the name uncultured bacterium. Its description in RNAcentral is "partial 16S ribosomal RNA". It matches the Rfam family "Bacterial small subunit ribosomal RNA", at positions 338 to 795 of the family's 1533-position model. The record is from RNAcentral.
CCUACGGGUGGCAGCAGUGGGGAAUAUUGCACAAUGGGGGAAACCCUGAUGCAGCGAAGCCGCGUGAGUGAAGAAGUAAUUCGGUAUGUAAAGCUCUAUCAGCAGGGAAGAAAAUGACGGUACCUGAGUAAGAAGCCCCGGCUAACUACGUGCCAGCAGCCGCGGUAAUACGUAGGGGCCAGGGUUUUACGGGUUUACCGGGUGGAAAGGGGGGUGAGAGGGGAGUGCAAAGCUGGAGGGAAAAGCGGGGGUCCAAACCCCGGACUGGUCUGGAAACCGGACGGCUGGAGUGCAGGAGAGGUAAGUGGAAUUCCUGGUGUAGCGGUGAAAUGCGUAGAUAUUAGGAAGAACACCAGUUGCGAAGGCAGCUUACUGGUCUGUAACUGACGUUGAGGCUCGAAAGCGUGGGGAGCAAACAGGAUUAGAUACCCCAGUAGUC